AGGAUGAACGCUGGCGGCGUGCUUAACACAUGCAAGUCGAACGGUGAAGUGAGGAGCUUGCUCCUUGCGGAUCAGUGGCGAACGGGUGAGUAACACGUGAGUAACCUGCCCUUGACUCUGGGAUAAGCGUUGGAAACGACGUCUAAUACCGGAUACGACCUCCGAAGGCAUCUUCUGGAGGUGGAAAGAAUUUCGGUCAAGGAUGGACUCGCGGCCUAUCAGCUAGUUGGUGAGGUAAUGGCCCACCAAGGCGACGACGGGUAGCCGGCCUGAGAGGGUGACCGGCCACACUGGGACUGAGACACGGCCCAGACUCCUACGGGAGGCAGCAGUGGGGAAUAUUGCACAAUGGGCGCAAGCCUGAUGCAGCAACGCCGCGUGAGGGACGACGGCCUUCGGGUUGUAAACCUCUUUUAGUAGGGAAGAAGCGAAAGUGACGGUACCUGCAGAAAAGCACCGGCUAACUACGUGCCAGCAGCCGC
This 482-nucleotide ribosomal RNA is filed under the name uncultured bacterium. Its description in RNAcentral is "SSU rRNA". It matches the Rfam family "Bacterial small subunit ribosomal RNA", at positions 26 to 518 of the family's 1533-position model. The record is from RNAcentral.